RNAcentral lists this transfer RNA (74 nucleotides) under Elusimicrobiota bacterium. Its description in RNAcentral is "tRNA-Pro". It matches the Rfam family "tRNA". From Rfam's summary of the family: Transfer RNA (tRNA) molecules are approximately 80 nucleotides in length. Their secondary structure includes four short double-helical elements and three loops (D, anti-codon, and T loops). Lineage: Bacteria; Pseudomonadati; Elusimicrobiota. The record is from RNAcentral.
CGGGGCAUAGGAUAAUUGGCUAUUCCGCUUGCUUUGGGAGCAAGAGAUUCCCGGUUCAAAUCCGGGUGCCCCGA